This 77-nucleotide transfer RNA is filed under the name Dehalococcoidia bacterium. RNAcentral describes it as "tRNA-Asp". It matches the Rfam family "tRNA". From Rfam's summary of the family: Transfer RNA (tRNA) molecules are approximately 80 nucleotides in length. Their secondary structure includes four short double-helical elements and three loops (D, anti-codon, and T loops). The record is from RNAcentral. Lineage: Bacteria; Bacillati; Chloroflexota; Dehalococcoidia.
GGCCCCGUGGUGUAGAGGCCUAACACGCCACCCUGUCACGGUGGAGAUCGUCGGUUCGAAUCCGAUCGGGGUCGCCA